This 468-nucleotide ribosomal RNA is filed under the name uncultured bacterium. RNAcentral describes it as "partial 16S ribosomal RNA". It matches the Rfam family "Bacterial small subunit ribosomal RNA", at positions 28 to 507 of the family's 1533-position model. The record is from RNAcentral.
GACGAACGCUGGCGGCGUGCUUAACACAUGCAAGUCGAACGGAAAGGUCCUGCUUUUGUGGGGUGCUCGAGUUGCGACCGGGUGAGUAACACGUGAGUAACCUGCCCUUGACUUUGGGAUAACUUCAGGAAACUGGGGCUAAUACCGGAUAGGAGCUCCUGCUGCAUGGUGGGGGUUGGAAAGUUUCGGCGGUUGGGGAUGGACUCGCGGCUUAUCAGCUUGUUGGUGGGGUGGUGGCUUACCAAGGCUUUGACGGGUAGCCGGCCUGAGCGGGUAACCGGACAAAUUGGGACUGAGAUACGGCCCAGACUAAUAUGGGAGGCAGCAGUGGGGAAGAUUGUACAGUGGGAGGAAGCAUGAUGCAGCAACGCCGCGUGGGGGAUAACGGCCUUCGGGUUGGAAACCGAUUUCGCCUGUGACGAAGCGAGAGUGACGGUAAUGGGUAAAGAAGCACCGGCUAACUACGUG